Molecule: ribosomal RNA, 438 nt
Filed under: uncultured bacterium
Lineage: Bacteria
Description: bacterial SSU rRNA
Rfam family: Bacterial small subunit ribosomal RNA
Source: RNAcentral
AACGCGAAGAACCUUACCUACCCUUAACAUCCCGUGCUAGUGGCAGAGAUGUCAUGUUCUCUUCGGAGACGCGGAGAUAGGUGCUGCAUGGCUGUCGUCAGCUCGUGUCGUAAGAUGUCUGGUUAAGUCCAAUAACGAGCGCAACCCUUGUCCUUAGUUGCUAACAUUAAGUUGAGAACUCUAAGGAGACUGCCGGUGUUAAACCGGAGGAAGGCGGGGAUGACGUCAAGUCCUCAUGGCCCUUACGGGUAGGGCUACACACGUACUACAAUGGCAGAGACAAACCGUUGCGAAAUCGCGAGAUGGAGCUAAUCGGAAAAACGCUGCCUCAGUUCAGAUUGGAGUCUGCAACUCGACUCCAUGAAGUUGGAAUCGCUAGUAAUCGCUGAUCAGCAAGCAGCGUGAAUACGUUCCCGGGCCUUGUACACACCGAGUAUA